GGCCUUUCAUUUCCACGCGACGCACCCUAUAUUCGCUUCGUCGGCUUGACCGACUAUGGCGAUAAAUGGGCGAUGAAAUAAGCCGUUCGGACCCGGGGGCGGUACCCGGCGCCUCCACCAAAAGCCGCUGUUUAAGACGGAGCGGUUUUUGCUGGGGGCGAAAUAGGAUCGACGAAGGUGUAAAGAUCGUACUUUUGCCCGGCAUUGUACCACCGUUAUCGGGCUAAACUUAUAGUUGCCAACGACAACUAUGCGGAAGCACGUCUCGCUGCUUAAUGCAGUGCGAUAGCUUCAAAUCAAGCCCUAGGGGUUCGCACUUCUAGGCGGGGUUCGGAGGUACCUGGCAACAGAAACCUCCACU
RNAcentral lists this transfer-messenger RNA (361 nucleotides) under Mesorhizobium sp. B3-2-1. It matches the Rfam family "Alphaproteobacteria transfer-messenger RNA". From Rfam's summary of the family: Bacterial tmRNA, also known as 10Sa RNA or SsrA, is named for its dual tRNA and mRNA-like properties. Its role is to liberate the mRNA from a stalled ribosome. To accomplish this part of the tmRNA is used as a reading frame that ends in a translation stop signal. Lineage: Bacteria; Pseudomonadati; Pseudomonadota; Alphaproteobacteria; Hyphomicrobiales; Phyllobacteriaceae. The record is from RNAcentral. RNAcentral also lists the same sequence under 2 other names.